RNAcentral lists this ribosomal RNA (433 nucleotides) under uncultured bacterium. RNAcentral's name for it is "partial 16S ribosomal RNA". It matches the Rfam family "Bacterial small subunit ribosomal RNA", at positions 29 to 507 of the family's 1533-position model. The record is from RNAcentral.
AACGAACGCUGGCGGCAUGCCUAACACAUGCAAGUCGAACGAGACCUUCGGGUCUAGUGGCUCACGGGUGCGUAGCGCGUGGGAACCUGCCCUUAGGUUCGGAAUAACUCCCCGAAAGGGGUGCUAAUACCGGAUAAUGUCUUCGGACCAAAGAUUUAUCGCCUUUGGAUGGGCCCGCGUUGGAUUAGCUUGUUGGUAGGGUAAAAGCCUACCAAGGCGACGAUCCAUAGCUGGUCUGAGAGGCUGAGCAGCCACACUGGGACUGAGACACGGCCCAGACUCCUACGGGAAGCAGCAGUGGGGAAUAUUGGACAAUGGGCGAAAGCAUGAUCCAGCAAUGCCGCGUGAGUGAUGAAGGCCUUAGAGUUGAAAAGCUCUUUUACCCGGGAUGAUAAUGACAGUACCGGGAGAAUAAGCUCCGGCUAACUCCGUG